Molecule: ribosomal RNA, 165 nt
Filed under: Curcuma parviflora
Lineage: Eukaryota; Viridiplantae; Streptophyta; Magnoliopsida; Zingiberales; Zingiberaceae
Description: 5.8S ribosomal RNA
Rfam family: 5.8S ribosomal RNA
About the family: 5.8S ribosomal RNA (5.8S rRNA) is a component of the large subunit of the eukaryotic ribosome.
Source: RNAcentral
CAAAUGACUCUCGGCAAUGGAUAUCUCGGCUCUUGCAUCGAUGAAGAACGUAGUGAAAUGCGAUAUUUGGUGUGAAUUGCAGAAUCUCGCGAACCAUUGAGUCUUUGAACGCAAGUUGUGCCCGAGGCCUUGUGGUCGAGGGCACGCCUGCUUGGGUGUCAUGAC